Molecule: small RNA, 124 nt
Filed under: Marmota monax (woodchuck)
Lineage: Eukaryota; Metazoa; Chordata; Mammalia; Rodentia; Sciuridae
Source: RNAcentral
GCCAGGCGUGGUGGUGCAUGCCUGUAAUCCCAGCGGCUUGGAGGCUAAGACAGGAGGAUUGUGGGUUCAAAGCCAGCCUUAGCAAUGGCGAGGCACUAAGCAACUCAGUGAGACCCUGUAUCUA